UAGGGAAUCUUCCACAAUGGACGCAAGUCUGAUGGAGCAACGCCGCGUGAGUGAAGAAGGUUUUCGGAUCGUAAAGCUCUGUUGUUGGUGAAGAAGGAUAGAGGUAGUAACUGGCCUUUAUUUGACGGUAAUCAACCAGAAAGUCACGGCUAACUACGUGCCAGCAGCCGCGGUAAUACGUAGGUGGCAAGCGUUGUCCGGAUUUAUUGGGCGUAAAGCGAGCGCAGGCGGAAGAAUAAGUCUGAUGUGAAAGCCCUCGGCUUAACCGAGGAACUGCAUCGGAAACUGUUUUUCUUGAGAGCAGAAGAGGAGAGUGGAAUUCCAUGUGUAGCGGUGGAAUGCGUAGAUAUAUGGAAGAACACCAGUGGCGAAGGCGACUCUCUGGUCUGCAACUGACGCUGAGGCUCGAAAGCAUGGGUAGCGAACAGG
This 429-nucleotide ribosomal RNA is filed under the name bacterium. RNAcentral describes it as "partial 16S ribosomal RNA". It matches the Rfam family "Bacterial small subunit ribosomal RNA", at positions 355 to 776 of the family's 1533-position model. The record is from RNAcentral.